Long non-coding RNA from Talpa occidentalis (Iberian mole), 625 nucleotides. RefSeq lists it as uncharacterized. The transcript has 5 exons. The record is from RefSeq and is a predicted model, not a curated record. Lineage: Eukaryota; Metazoa; Chordata; Mammalia; Eulipotyphla; Talpidae.
GUCACUUCAUUCUCCAAAGUCCAGUUGAAAGAAAGCAUUAUGAGGAGUCACCUGAAGGAUGUGCUCUCCUCCAUUUGUUUUAUCAUGUUCAGGACCUCUAGAGUGUUAACGCUCAUGGAGUGGUAGGAAGACCCUGCGGGCCUACCUUUGUGUUUGCUGUGGUAAUGAAGUCCUGGUCUCCGUGUUAACUCCAGCUGGAAGUAGUUCAGUGCCAGGGAUGUGUACCAACUAUUGCACCUCAGAAAAUUUCCAGGAAUGAAGGAAAAUUCAGGAGAAGGAUGCCAGAAAAAAGUUGUGAAUAAUACAGUAUAACCAAUGACCACUGGGAGUCUUUUACAUGCUACUGCAAGAUAGAUAAUUAACCUAGAGAGAAAGCCCAUUUUCUUCAGGGGAAAUGAGAAGAUGUCUAUCUUCAGUGUCUGAAAUGAAGGCACACUAAGAAGAGCAAGAAAGUUCAACUCUGAAGAGCCAAAAGAAAAGAGCCAGGAAUUUCGAGAUCAAGGCACAGGUUCCCCUCAUGCUUCCACCUGAUGGUGCAGUGUCACCCCUGCAGCUGCACUCUGCUGAUCUGAAAGUUUCCCUACCCAAUGGAGAGACACUGCCACUGAGUCACAUAAUAAAAAUC